CGGGGUGCAGCAGGCGCGAAAACUCUACAAUGCAGGCAACUGCGAUAGGGGAACAUCGAGUGAUCCUCAUAUUGGGGGUCUGUCCACCCGUCUAAAAAACGGGUGUUAGCAAGGGCCGGGCAAGACCGGUGCCAGCCGCCGCGGUAAUACCGGCGGCUCGAGUGGUGGCCGAUAUUAUUGAGUCUAAAGGGUCCGUAGCCGGCUUUGCAAGUCUCUCGGGAAAUCCAGCGGCUUAACCGUUGGUCGUCCGGGGGGUACUACAUUGCUUGGGACUGGGAGAGGUAGGAGGUACUCAGGGGGUAGGAGUGAAAUCCUGUAAUCCUUUGGGGACCACCGGUGGCGAAGGCGUCCUACCAGAACAGGUCCGACGGUGAGGGACGAAAGCUAGGGGCACGAACCGGAUUAGAUACCCGGGUAGUCCUAGCCGUAAACGAUGCUCGCUAGGUGUCACAACAGUCGUGAACUGUUGUGGUGCCGUAGGGAAGCCGUGAAGCGAGCCACUUGGGAAGUACGACCGCAAGGUUAAACUUAAAGGAAUUGGCGGGGGAGCACAAGGGCGAAUCGCG
This 566-nucleotide ribosomal RNA is filed under the name uncultured archaeon. RNAcentral's name for it is "bacterial SSU rRNA". It matches the Rfam family "Archaeal small subunit ribosomal RNA", at positions 326 to 897 of the family's 1478-position model. The record is from RNAcentral.